UGGGGAAUUUUGGACAAUGGGCGAAAGCCUGAUCCAGCAAUGCCGCGUGUGUGAAGAAGGCCUUCGGGUUGUAAAGCACUUUUGUCCGGAAAGAAAUCCUUGGCUCUAAUACAGUCGGGGGAUGACGGUACCGGAAGAAUAAGCACCGGCUAACUACGUGCCAGCAGCCGCGGUAAUACGUAGGGUGCAAGCGUUAAUCGGAAUUACUGGGCGUAAAGCGUGCGCAGGCGGUUUGCUAAGACCGAUGUGAAAUCCCCGGGCUCAACCUGGGAACUGCAUUGGUGACUGGCGGGCUAGAGUAUGGCAGAGGGGGGUAGAAUUCCACGUGUAGCAGUGAAAUGCGUAGAGAUGUGGAGGAAUACCGAUGGCGAAGGCAGCCCCCUGGGCCAAUACUGACGCUCAUGCACGAAAGCGUGGGGAGCAAACAGGAUUAGAUACCCUGGUAGUCCACGCCCUAAACGAUGUCAACUAGUUGUUGGGGAUUCAUUUCCUUAGUAACGUAGCUAACGCGUGAAGUUGACCGCCUGGGGAGUACGGUCGCAAGAUUAAAACUCAAAUGAAUUGACGGGGUCAUAGCUGUUU
This 582-nucleotide ribosomal RNA is filed under the name uncultured bacterium. Its description in RNAcentral is "partial 16S ribosomal RNA". It matches the Rfam family "Bacterial small subunit ribosomal RNA", at positions 355 to 935 of the family's 1533-position model. The record is from RNAcentral.